This 729-nucleotide ribosomal RNA is filed under the name Triticum aestivum (bread wheat). RNAcentral's name for it is "partial small subunit ribosomal RNA". The record is from RNAcentral. Lineage: Eukaryota; Viridiplantae; Streptophyta; Magnoliopsida; Poales; Poaceae.
AUGAGAUGUAGUUUCAAUGCAGACAUCAAGUGUGAUUAGAUAGACAAUAAUAUGGUUGAGUCUUUUAAUAACUGGAUAAAGGACUAUAAAGACUUGCCAUUUGAUGAGCUUGUUGACACAUAUAGAGAGUUGUUGAUGAAACUAGUAUACAAAAGAAGGAGAAUUGGGGAGAAAUUGAGGGGAAAGAUCAUUCCUGCUGUUAUUUAACAGAUUUUCAAUAGGACUAGAGGGCUUGGUCAUCUAAAAGUUGGAAAACCAGGUAAUGGUAGUUGUGAAGUCAGGGACACAAGCAAAAAUAGUCUUAGGCAUGUUGUGAAGGUUGAGAAACAUGAACGAACUUGUUUGGAGUGGCAGCACACUGGAAAGCCAUGUGAGCAUGCUCUAGUAUUUUUUAUGGGGUUGAGAAACCCAAAAUGGGUAUACUAUGCUCAUAAUUAUUUCUCCUUGGACAAGUUUAGGGCAGCUUAUGCAGGUGAGAUUGAGCCCAUGACAGAUAGGAGUCAAUGCCCUCAUGUGGAUGUUGGUUUCGACAUGGAUGCACCGAUUCACAAAGGAAGACCGCCUGGAAGGCCUAGAAAGAAGAGGUACAAGAGUGCCCUCGAAGGUGGAAAGGGUGGUCCAAAAAAGAAAGAACCUAAACAAUUGGGCAGCCAAAACAGAUGCAAAAGAUGCAAUGAAUUAGGUCACAUACAACCUGGUUGCCCUUUAAAUGGUCCUCAAAAAAGGUAA